Molecule: ribosomal RNA, 789 nt
Filed under: uncultured Bacillota bacterium
Lineage: Bacteria; Bacillati; Bacillota
Description: bacterial SSU rRNA
Rfam family: Bacterial small subunit ribosomal RNA
Source: RNAcentral
AAAGCCCCCUUCGGGGGGCAAGUAGAGUGGCGCACGGGUGAGUAACACGUAGGUAAUCUACCUUUGGAUGGGGAAUAACAACCGGAAACGGUUGCUAAUACCGCAUAAUGCAGCGGCACCUAAUGGUGACAGUUGUUAAAGCGGGGGAUCGCAAGACCUCGCGUCUGAAGAGGAGCCUGCGGCAGAUUAGCUAGUUGGUAAGGUAAAGGCUUACCAAGGCGAUGAUCUGUAGCCGGCCUGAGAGGGCGGUCGGCCACACUGACACUGACAUACGGGUCAGACUCCUACGGGAGGCAGCAGUCGGGAAUUUUGGGCAAUGGGCGAAAGCCUGACCCAGCAACGCCGCGUGAAGGAUGAAAUCCCUCGGGAUGUAAACUUCGCAAGAACGGGAAGAAUAAGUAAGAGCUAACAUCUCUUAUGAUGACGGUACUGUUUGUAAGCUCCGGCUAACUCCGUGCCAGCAGCCGCGGUAAUACGGGGGGAGCAAGCGUUGUUCGGAUUUACUGGGCGUAAAGGGCGCGUAGGCGGCCACCGCAAGUCGACUGUGAAAUCUCCGGGCUUAACUCGGAAAGGUCAGCCGAUACUGCGGGGCUAGAGUGCAGAAGGGGCAACUGGAAUUCUCGGUGUAGCGGUGAAAUGCGUAGAUAUCGAGAGGAACACCUGCGGCGAAGGCGGGUUGCUGGGCUGACACUGACGCUGAGGCGCGAAAGCUAGGGGAGCGAACGGGAUUAGAUACCCCGGUAGUCCUAGCCUUAAACGAUGAAUGCUUGGUGUCUGGGGUUUUAUAGU